Molecule: ribosomal RNA, 253 nt
Filed under: uncultured bacterium
Lineage: Bacteria
Description: partial 16S ribosomal RNA
Rfam family: Bacterial small subunit ribosomal RNA
Source: RNAcentral
UACGUAGGGUGCGAGCGUUGUCCGGAAUUACUGGGCGUAAAGAGCUCGUAGGCGGUUUGUCGCGUCGUCUGUGAAAUCCCGCAGCUCAACUGCGGGCUUGCAGGCGAUACGGGCAGACUCGAGUACUGCAGGGGAGACUGGAAUUCCUGGUGUAGCGGUGAAAUGCGCAGAUAUCAGGAGGAACACCGGUGGCGAAGGCGGGUCUCUGGGCAGUAACUGACGCUGAGGAGCGAAAGCGUGGGUAGCGAACAGG